GAUGAACGCUGGCGGCGUGCCUAAUACAUGCAAGUCGAGCGAACAGACGAGGAGCUUGCUCCUUCGACGUUAGCGGCGGACGGGUGAGUAACACGUAGGUAACCUACCUAUAAGACUGGGAUAACUUCGGGAAACCGGAGCUAAUACCGGAUAAUAUUUCGAACCGCAUGGUUCGAUAGUGAAAGAUGGCUUUGCUAUCACUUAUAGAUGUACCUGCGCCGUAUUAGCUAGUUGGUAAGGUAACGGCUUACCAAGGCAACGAUACGUAGCCGACCUGAGAGGGGGAUCGGCCACACUGGAAGUGAGACACGGUCCAGACUCCUACGGGAGGCAGCAGUAGGGAAUCUUCCGCAAUGGGCGAAAGCCUGACGGAGCAACGCAGCGUGAGUGAUGAAGGUCUGCGGAUCGUAAAACUCUGUUAUUAGGGAAGAACAAACGUGUAAGUAACGGUGCACGUCUUGACGGUACCUAAUCAGAAAGCCACGGCUAACUACGUG
This 497-nucleotide ribosomal RNA is filed under the name uncultured bacterium. RNAcentral's name for it is "partial 16S ribosomal RNA". It matches the Rfam family "Bacterial small subunit ribosomal RNA", at positions 28 to 507 of the family's 1533-position model. The record is from RNAcentral.